Molecule: long non-coding RNA, 1614 nt
Filed under: Numida meleagris (helmeted guineafowl)
Lineage: Eukaryota; Metazoa; Chordata; Aves; Galliformes; Numididae
Description: lncRNA (ENSNMEG00000007878.1)
Source: RNAcentral
CAAUGGGCAUUGCAAUAGUGGGCAUCACUGCCGUGGUGCUGCAACAAUGGGCAUUGCAGCUCUGGGCAUUGCAGUAGUGGACACUGCAACAGUGCUCGUUGCAAUAGGGGGCAUCACUGCCGUGGUGCUGCAGCUGUGGGCAUUGCAACCGUGAUACUGCAACAGUGGGCGUUGCAGCUGUGGGCUUUGCAGCUGUGGGCAUCACUGCCGUGGUGCUGCAACCGUAGGCAUUGCAACAGGGGACAUUGCAAGCGUGGUACCGCAACCGUGGGCAUUGCACCAGUGGGCAUUGCUGCUGUGAGCGCUGCAGCUGGAGCACGGAUGCCAUGGCAUUGCAACCGUGGCAUCGCUGCCUCGGGCAGUGCCGCUGUGGCAUUGCCACCAAGGGCAUUGCUGCUGUGGCGCUGCCCCCGCGUCGUUACUGCUUCGGGCAUCGCCGUCGUGGGCCGCGCUGCCACGUGGGCACUGCUGCUGUGGGCAUUGCAGCCACGGGGAUUUGUGCCGUGGGCAUCGCCGCCGUCUGACCGCCGCCGCGGGCACCGUCACUGCACCACGUCCCCUGCGUGGGCACAGCAAGAGCAGGGGGUCUCCAGGUGACCCCCCCGCGCCGUGUGCCCCGUGCCACCGCGACACGGCCACGUCCCCGCGGCAUCACCGGGCACGGGGGCACCCCCACGCUGUGUCCCCGGCCACGUGCCACCCCCAGCGGGUCCUCGGCGGUGGCUCUGGGUGUCCCCGUAUCUGGGUUUGAGUCGGGGUGGCUGGGGGGGGACGCUGGGGACGCGGUGGUUGGCUGAGACCCGGCACGCUCGGUUCACGUGUGGCGGGGCCGGGAAGGGUUAAGGGAAGCGGAGGCCCCCGAGCUGUCUCGUUGCCAACGGAAACCAGACAUGAGGUCAUCGGGGAUGAACUUGGACUUGGGGCGGCUGGAGACAAUGGGAGAGCGGUGGGGGGCCCCCCGCCCCACCACCCCUGCGCUGGGGACAGCGCUGUCCCCAAGGGGGGAGCCCUGGGGGUGUCACUGCAUCGCCUUCAUUGGGGUGAAGCCAUCCCCAAAAUCGCCGUGGGGAGGGAGGGGGGAGCAGUGUGGGGCACAGUGGCCCCGAAAAUGGGGAUUUGCUCGGUGGGGUGACACUGGUGGGGACAGCGUGGGGACACUGGGGACCCGUCUUGCUGCUGGCACCAGGGAAAGCUGGGCAGGGGACGUGGGGACAUGGAGGGGCACAGUGAGAUGGGGACACGAAGGAGCACGGUGACACAGGGACAUGGAGGGAGCACAGUCACAUGGGGACAUGGGUGCAUGGAGGGGCACAAUGAUGUGGAGACAUGAAGGGACACAGUGACAGGGGGACGUGGGGACAUGGAGGGGGUACAGUCACAUGGGGCACAGUGACAUGGGGACACGGAGGGGGAAUAGUGACCUGGGGACAUGGAGGUAGCACAGUGACACAGGGAUAUGGAGGGACUCAGAGGGAGCGCAGUCACACGGAGACGUGGGGACAUGGAGGGGUCACAGUGACGUGGGGACAUGAGGACACGCAGGGGGCACGGCGACACGGGGAUGUGGAAGGGGAAUAGUGACACGGGGACGUGGAGGUGCACAGUGACACGGGG